GUGCCAGCAGCCGCGGUAAUACGGAGGGUGCGAGCGUUAAUCGGAAUUACUGGGCGUAAAGCGCAUGCAGGUGGUUUGUUAAGUCAGAUGUGAAAGCCCGGGGCUCAACCUCGGAAUAGCAUUUGAAACUGGCAGACUAGAGUACUGUAGAGGGGGGUAGAAUUUCCAGGGGUAGCGGUGAAAUGCGUAGAGAUCUGAAGGAAUACCGGUGGCGAAGGCGGCCCCCUGGACAGAUACUGACACUCAGAUGCGAAAGCGUGGGGAGCAAACAGGAUUAGAUACCCCUGGUAGUCC
RNAcentral lists this ribosomal RNA (294 nucleotides) under uncultured microorganism. RNAcentral's name for it is "partial 16S ribosomal RNA". It matches the Rfam family "Bacterial small subunit ribosomal RNA", at positions 505 to 796 of the family's 1533-position model. The record is from RNAcentral.